This 253-nucleotide ribosomal RNA is filed under the name uncultured bacterium. RNAcentral describes it as "partial 16S ribosomal RNA". It matches the Rfam family "Bacterial small subunit ribosomal RNA", at positions 524 to 776 of the family's 1533-position model. The record is from RNAcentral.
GACGAACCGUGCGAACGUUGUUCGGAAUAACUGGGCAUAAAGGGCGCGUAGGCGGGCCCGAAAGUCAGGGGUGAAAUCCCACGGCUCAACCGUGGAAGCGCCUUUGAUACUGCGGGCCUGGAGGGAGGCAGGGGAGUGCGGAACUUCCGGUGGAGCGGUGAAAUGCGCAGAUAUCGGGAAGAACACCCGUGGCGAAGGCGGUUCUCUGGGACGGUACUGACGCUGAGACGCGAAAGCGUGGGGAGCGAACAGG